GCCCGGCUAGCUCGGCGGCAGAGCACGCGAGAUCUUAAUCCUCGGUCGUGGUUCGAGCCCACGUUGGGCU
Molecule: non-coding RNA, 70 nt
Organism: Trichonephila clavipes
Lineage: Eukaryota; Metazoa; Arthropoda; Arachnida; Araneae; Nephilidae
Source: the annotation of a GenBank genome assembly